GCACAAGCGGUGGAGCAUGUGGUUCAAUUCGACGCAACGCGAAGAACCUUACCUGGGCUCGAAGCGUAGUGGACCGGGGUAGAAAUAUCCCUUUCCGCAAGGACUGCUACGUAGGUGCUGCAUGGCUGUCGUCAGCUCGUGUCGUGAGAUGUUGGGUUAAGUCCCGCAACGAGCGCAACCCUUAUUGCCAGUUGCCAGCGAGUAAUGUCGGGCACUCUGGCGAAACCGCCCCGGAUAACGGGGAGGAAGGUGGGGAUGACGUCAAGUCCUCAUGGCCUUUAUGUCCAGGGCUACACACGUGCUACAAUGGUCGGUACAAACCGUCGCAAACCCGCGAGGGGGAGCUAAUCGGAAAAAGCCGACCUCAGUUCGGAUUGGAGUCUGCAACUCGACUCCAUGAAGCUGGAAUCGCUAGUAAUCGCAGAUCAGAACGCUGCGGUGAAUACGUUCCCGGGC
This 456-nucleotide ribosomal RNA is filed under the name uncultured bacterium. Its description in RNAcentral is "bacterial SSU rRNA". It matches the Rfam family "Bacterial small subunit ribosomal RNA", at positions 923 to 1379 of the family's 1533-position model. The record is from RNAcentral.